GAGUAACGCGUAUGCAACCUACCUAUCAGGAGGGGAACUAACCGGCGAAAGUCGGACUAAUACCGCAUAAAACAGGGGCACCGCAUGGUGAUAUUUGUUAAAGAAAUUCGCUGAUAGAUGGGCAUGCGUUCCAUUAGGUAGUUGGUGAGGUAACGGCUCACCAAGCCGACGAUGGAUAGGGGAACUGAGAGGUUGGUCCCCCACACUGGUACUGAGACACGGACCAGACUCCUACGGGAGGCAGCAGUGAGGAAUAUUGGUCAAUGGGCGGGAGCCUGAACCAGCCAAGUCGCGUGAAGGAAGAAGGAUCUAUGGUUCGUAACUUCUUUGCAGGGGAAUAAAGUGCAGGACGUGUCCUGUUUUGUAUGUACCCUGAGAAUAAGGAUCGGCUAACUCCGUGCCAGCCGCCGC
This 411-nucleotide ribosomal RNA is filed under the name uncultured bacterium. RNAcentral's name for it is "bacterial SSU rRNA". It matches the Rfam family "Bacterial small subunit ribosomal RNA", at positions 108 to 518 of the family's 1533-position model. The record is from RNAcentral.